UACGGGGGGGGCAAGCGUUGUUCGGAAUUACUGGGCGUAAAGGGCGCGUAGGCGGCCUGCUAAGUCGGAUGUGAAAUCCCUCGGCUCAACCGAGGAACUGCAUCCGAUACUGGCGGGCUUGAAUCCGGGAGAGGGAUGUGGAAUUCCAGGUGUAGCGGUGAAAUGCGUAGAUAUCAGGAGGAACACCUGUGGCGAAAGCGGCUCACUGGACCACAACUGACGCUGAGGCGCGAAAGCUAGGGGAGCAAACAGG
This 253-nucleotide ribosomal RNA is filed under the name uncultured bacterium. Its description in RNAcentral is "partial 16S ribosomal RNA". It matches the Rfam family "Bacterial small subunit ribosomal RNA", at positions 524 to 776 of the family's 1533-position model. The record is from RNAcentral.